Molecule: small RNA, 27 nt
Filed under: Bombyx mori (domestic silkworm)
Lineage: Eukaryota; Metazoa; Arthropoda; Insecta; Lepidoptera; Bombycidae
Description: ovarian small RNA-17066
Source: RNAcentral
GCUCAAAACAGCAGUGCCUUCCCUGAC